RNAcentral lists this small RNA (869 nucleotides) under Pan troglodytes (chimpanzee). RNAcentral's name for it is "processed transcript". Lineage: Eukaryota; Metazoa; Chordata; Mammalia; Primates; Hominidae. The record is from RNAcentral.
CUUUGGAAGGCCGAGGUGGGCGGAUCACCUGAGCUCAGGAGUUUGAGACCAGCCUGUCUCUACUAACAAUAUAAAAAUUAGCUGGGAGUCACGGUGGGCGCCUGUAAUCCCAGCUACUCGGGAGGCUGAGGCAGGAGAAUUGCUUGAACCCAGGAGACAGAGGUUGUAGUGAGCUGAGAUCGCACCACUGCACUCUAGCCUUGGCAACAGUGCAAGACUGUCUCAAAAACAGCAACAGAAAGCAGGACGUGAGACUUCUACCUGCUCACUCAGAAUCAUUUCUGCACCAACCAUGGCCACGUUUGUGGAGCUCAGUACCAAAGCCAAGAUGCCCAUUGUGGGCCUGGGCACUUGGAAGUCUCCUCUCGGCAAAGUGAAAGAAGCAGUGAAGGUGGCCAUUGAUGCAGGAUAUCAGCACAUUGACUGUGCCUAUGUCUAUCAGAAUGAACAUGAAGUCGGGGAAGCCAUCCAAGAGAAGAUCCAAGAGAAGGCUGUGAAGCGGGAGGACCUGUUCAUCGUCAGCAAGUUGUGGCCCACUUUCUUUGAGAGACCCCUUGUGAGGAAAGCCUUUGAGAAGACCCUCAAGGACCUGAAGCUGAGCUAUCUGGACGUCUAUCUUAUUCACUGGCCACAGGGAUUCAAGUCUGGGGAUGACCUUUUCCCCAAAGAUGAUAAAGGUAAUGCCAUCGGUGGAAAAGCAACGUUCUUGGACGCCUGGGAGGCCCAGCUUAUACUCUACCUGAAGGACUCCCCUGACAACUGUGGGCUCCACUUCCAGAUCGAGAAGCUCUUGAACAAACCUGGACUGAAAUAUAAACCAGUGACUAACCAGGUUGAGUGUCACCCAUACCUCACACAGGAGAAACUGA